GUUCUAAGGGCGGUGAAGUCAGACCGGAAGGACUGGUGGAGCGCGUAGAAGUGAGAAUGCCGGUAUGAGUAGCGAAAGAAGGGUGAGAAUCCCUUCCACCGAAUAUCUAAGGUUUCCUGAGGAAGGCGCGUCCGCUCAGGGUUAGUCGGGACCUAAGCCGAGGCCGAUAGGCGUAGGCGAUGGACAACAGGUAGAGAUUCCUGUACCAGUGCUAAUUGUUUAACCGAUGGGGUGACACAGAAGGAUAGGGAAUCG
This 255-nucleotide ribosomal RNA is filed under the name Listeria monocytogenes. Its description in RNAcentral is "partial 23S ribosomal RNA". It matches the Rfam family "Bacterial large subunit ribosomal RNA", at positions 1238 to 1492 of the family's 2925-position model. Lineage: Bacteria; Bacillati; Bacillota; Bacilli; Caryophanales; Listeriaceae. The record is from RNAcentral.